RNAcentral lists this transfer RNA (96 nucleotides) under Drepanopeziza brunnea f. sp. 'multigermtubi' MB_m1. Its description in RNAcentral is "Marssonina brunnea f. sp. 'multigermtubi' MB_m1 tRNA". It matches the Rfam family "tRNA". Rfam says of the family: Transfer RNA (tRNA) molecules are approximately 80 nucleotides in length. Their secondary structure includes four short double-helical elements and three loops (D, anti-codon, and T loops). The record is from Rfam by way of RNAcentral. Lineage: Eukaryota; Fungi; Ascomycota; Leotiomycetes; Helotiales; Drepanopezizaceae.
GUCAUGAUGCCAGAGUGGUUAAUGGGUAAGACUUGAAUCCUCAGCGAUAGAUAUCUUAUGGCUUCGGCCUCGCAGGUUCAAAUCCUGUUCAUGACG